AGGGUUCGAUUCUGGCUCAGGACGAACGCUGGCGGCGCGCCUAACACAUGCAAGUCGAACGAGAGAGAGGAAGCUUGCUUCCUCAAUCGAGUGGCGAACGGGUGAGUAACGCGUGAGGAACCUGCCUCAAAGAGGGGGACAACAGUUGGAAACGACUGCUAAUACCGCAUAAGCCCACAGCUCGGCAUCGAGCAGAGGGAAAAGGAGCAAUCCGCUUUGAGAUGGCCUCGCGUCCGAUUAGCUAGUUGGUGAGGUAACGGCCCACCAAGGCGACGAUCGGUAGCCGGACUGAGAGGUUGAACGGCCACAUUGGGACUGAGACACGGCCCAG
This 331-nucleotide ribosomal RNA is filed under the name uncultured bacterium. RNAcentral describes it as "bacterial SSU rRNA". It matches the Rfam family "Bacterial small subunit ribosomal RNA", at positions 8 to 334 of the family's 1533-position model. The record is from RNAcentral.